GUGAAUCAUCAAAUUUUUGAACGCAUAUUGCACUCUCUGGUAUUUCGGAGAGUAUGCCUAUUUGAGGGUCAUUUGAAAUAAUAUACGUUCUAAGGUUUCUCGGAAUUUAUAAUGGAUUGUCCAUGUUUUGUGGUCGCUUAAAUUCAAAGACAUGAUCUUUUUCUUGGGUUGCGUGAUACUUUUAGUUAUCUCGUUACUUACGCAGGAAUCAUCGGGUGUGAUAUGAGUUUUUCAAGAGAUAUCAAA
This 246-nucleotide unclassified non-coding RNA is filed under the name Ambisporaceae sp. RNAcentral describes it as "partial contains 5.8S ribosomal RNA and internal transcribed spacer 2". The stretch from base 1 to 71 matches the Rfam family "5.8S ribosomal RNA", at positions 84 to 154 of the family's 154-position model. The record is from RNAcentral. Lineage: Eukaryota; Fungi; Glomeromycota; Glomeromycetes; Archaeosporales; Ambisporaceae.